This is a long non-coding RNA of Passer domesticus (house sparrow), 443 nucleotides long. RefSeq lists it as uncharacterized. NCBI's taxonomy places the organism in Eukaryota, Metazoa, Chordata, Aves, Passeriformes, Passeridae. The transcript has 2 exons. The record is from RefSeq and is a predicted model, not a curated record.
AGCCGGCACCACAACACGUAUUCCCAAUGCCCAGGAUGGCCUCGGAAGGGGUUUCUAUCAGGAAACAGGCUACUGGCUAGCAAUACUGGCAUUUCUGCUUUGUUUGGAGCUUGUCUUUGUGUUGUGCUUGUUUGGAAUCCGGUAUUUGGAAUCGGGAAGAGAAAACAAUGCUCCUGUGCAUCGUCAGCAGAUGAGCCUAAGAACACAGGCAGCGGGAGGUUGACAGUUUAUCCCAGCUCUCCACUUCUGCCCCUAUCUGCCCUGCCAUGGCUGCAGCAGCGUCAGGAGGCCGUCCCAAAACCCACCCCUCCACAACAAGACCCUCUGCCCCUCAGCCUCCUGGUCCUGUUCCCCGGCCAGGAAUGAAGGUGGGCAUCCCCUGUCUGCCAGGGCAGGGCUUGGCCCAUAUUUCAUAUUCAAAUAAAAGAAUAAAGUUUUCACAA